GAUGAAGAACGCAGCGAAAUGCGAUAAGUAAUGUGAAUUGCAGAAUUCAGUGAAUCAUCGAAUCUUUGAACGCACAUUGCGCCCGCCAGUAUUCUGGCGGGCAUGCCUGUUCGAGCGUCAUUACAACCCUCAGGCCCCCGGGCCUGGCGUUGGGGAUCGGCGAGGCGCCCCCCGCGGGCACGCGCCGUCCCCCAAAUACAGUGGCGGUCCCGCCGCAGCUUCCAUUGCGUAGUAGCUAACACCUCGCAACUGGAGAGCGGCGCGGCCAUGCCGUAAAACACCCAACUUCUGAAUGUUGACCUCGAAUCAGGUAGGAAUACCCGCUGAACUUAAGCAUAUCAAAAGCGGAGGA
Molecule: unclassified non-coding RNA, 352 nt
Filed under: soil metagenome
Description: partial contains 5.8S ribosomal RNA, internal transcribed spacer 2, and large subunit ribosomal RNA
Rfam family: 5.8S ribosomal RNA (bases 1-120)
Source: RNAcentral